Molecule: ribosomal RNA, 1960 nt
Filed under: human gut metagenome
Description: bacterial LSU rRNA
Rfam family: Bacterial large subunit ribosomal RNA
Source: RNAcentral
UUAAGUUAAUAAGGGCGCACGGUGGAUGCCUUGGCACUAGAAGCCGAUGAAGGACGUGACUAACGACGAAAUGCUUUGGGGAGUUGUAAGUAAACAUUGAUCCAGAGAUGUCCGAAUGGGGGAACCCGGCAUGUAAUGCAUGUCACUCAUUACUGUUAAGGUAAUGAAGAGGAAGACGCAGUGAACUGAAACAUCUAAGUAGCUGCAGGAAGAGAAAGCAAACGCGAUUGCCUUAGUAGCGGCGAGCGAAAUGGCAAGAGGGCAAACCGAUGUGUUUACACAUCGGGGUUGUAGGACUGCGACGUGGGACGACAAGAUUAUAGAAGAAUUACCUGGGAAGGUAAGCCAAAGAGAGUAACAGCCUCGUAUUCGAAAUAGUCUUUAACCCUAGCAGUAUCCUGAGUACGGCGAGACACGAGAAAUCUCGUCGGAAUCUGGGAGGACCAUCUCCUAACCCUAAAUACUCUCUAGUGACCGAUAGUGAACCAGUACCGUGAGGGAAAGGUGAAAAGCACCCCGGGAGGGGAGUGAAAUAGAACCUGAAACCGUGUGCCUACAACAAGUUCGAGCCCGUUAAUGGGUGAGAGCGUGCCUUUUGUAGAAUGAACCGGCGAGUUACGAUAUGAUGCGAGGUUAAGUUGAAGAGACGGAGCCGUAGGGAAACCGAGUCUUAAUAGGGCGCAUUAGUAUCAUGUCGUAGACCCGAAACCAUGUGACCUACCCAUGAGCAGGGUGAAGGUGAGGUAAAACUCACUGGAGGCCCGAACCAGGGCACGUUGAAAAGUGCUUGGAUGACUUGUGGGUAGCGGAGAAAUUCCAAACGAACUUGGAGAUAGCUGGUUCUCUCCGAAAUAGCUUUAGGGCUAGCGUCGAUGUUAAGUCUCUUGGAGGUAGAGCACUGUUUGAUUGAGGGGUCCAUCCCGGAUUACCAAUAUCAGAUAAACUCCGAAUGCCAAUGAGAUAUAAUCGGCAGUCAGACUGCGAGUGCUAAGAUCCGUAGUCGAAAGGGAAACAGCCCAGACCACCAGCUAAGGUCCCAAAAUAUAUGUUAAGUGGAAAAGGAUGUGGGGUUGCACAGACAACUAGGAUGUUAGCUUAGAAGCAGCUAUUCAUUCAAAGAGUGCGUAAUAGCUCACUAGUCGAGUGACCCUGCGCCGAAAAUGUACCGGGGCUAAAACAUAUUACCGAAGCUGUGGAUACCUUUUAGGUAUGGUAGGAGAGCGUUCUAUGUGUGAAGAAGGUGUACCGUGAGGAGCGCUGGAACGCAUAGAAGUGAGAAUGCCGGUAUGAGUAGCGAAAGACAGGUGAGAAUCCUGUCCACCGUAUGACUAAGGUUUCCAGGGGAAGGCUCGUCCUCCCUGGGUUAGUCGGGACCUAAGGAGAGACCGAAAGGUGUAUCCGAUGGACAACAGGUUGAUAUUCCUGUACUAGAGUAUAUAGUGAUGGAGGGACGCAGUAGGCUAACUAAAGCGUGCGAUUGGAAGUGCACGUCUAAGCAGUGAGGUGUGAUAUGAGUCAAAUGCUUAUAUCUCUAACAUUGAGCUGUGAUGGGGAGCGAAGUUAAGUAGCGAAGUUAGUGAUGUCACACUGCCAAGAAAAGCUUCUAGCGUUAAUUAUACUCUACCCGUACCGCAAACCGACACAGGUAGUCGAGGCGAGUAGCCUCAGGUGAGCGAGAGAACUCUCGUUAAGGAACUCGGCAAAAUGACCCCGUAACUUCGGGAGAAGGGGUGCUGACUUUAAGUCAGCCGCAGUGAAUAGGCCCAAGCAACUGUUUAUCAAAAACACAGCUCUCUGCUAAAUCGUAAGAUGAUGUAUAGGGGGUGACGCCUGCCCGGUGCUGGAAGGUUAAGAGGAGCGCUUAGCAUUAGCGAAGGUGUGAAUUGAAGCCCCAGUAAACGGCGGCCGUAACUAUAACGGUCCUAAGGUAGCGAAAUUCCUUGUCGGGUAAGUUCCGACC